UACAGAGGUCUCAAGCGUUGCUCGGAUUCAUUGGGCGUAAAGGGUGCGUAGGCGGCGCGGUAAGUCGGGUGUGAAAUCUUGGAGCUUAACUCCGAAACUGCAUUCGAUACUGCCGUGCUUGAGGACUGGAGAGGAGACUGGAAUUUACGGUGUAGCGGUGAAAUGCGUAGAUAUCGUAAGGAAGACCAGUGGCGAAGGCGGGUCUCUGGGCCGAUACUGACGCUGAGGAGCGAAAGCGUGGGGAGCAAACAGG
Molecule: ribosomal RNA, 253 nt
Filed under: uncultured bacterium
Lineage: Bacteria
Description: partial 16S ribosomal RNA
Rfam family: Bacterial small subunit ribosomal RNA
Source: RNAcentral